CGCGGCCUAUCAGCUUGUUGGUGAGGUAACGGCUCACCAAGGCAUCGACGGGUAGCUGGUCUGAGAGGACGAUCAGCCACACUGGGACUGAGACACGGCCCAGACUCCUGCGGGAGGCAGCAGUGGGGAAUCUUGCGCAAUGGGCGAAAGCCUGACGCAGCAACGCCGCGUGGGGGAUGAAGGCUCUCGGGUUGUAAACCCCUUUCAGCAGGGACGAAAUUGACGGUACCUGCAGAAGAAGCCCCGGCCAACUACGUGCCAGCAGCCGCGGUGACACGUAGGGGGCGAGCGUUGUCCGGAAUUAUUGGGCGUAAAGAGCUCGUAGGCGGUUUAGUAAGUCAGAUGUGAAAGGUUGGGGCUCAACCCUAAGACUGCAUUUGAUACUGCCGUGACUAGAGUCCGGUAGAGGAGUGUGGAAUUCCUGGUGUAGCGGUGAAAUGCGCAGAUAUCAGGAGGAACACCGACGGCGAAGGCAGCACUCUGGGCCGGUACUGACGCUGAGGAGCGAAAGCGUGGGUAGCAAACAGGAUUAGAUACCCUGGUAGUCCACGCCGUAAACGUUGGGCACUAGGUGUGGGGUCUUCUUAACGGAUUCCGUGCCGUAGCUAACGCAUUAAGUGCCCCGCCUGGGGAGUACGG
RNAcentral lists this ribosomal RNA (639 nucleotides) under uncultured bacterium. Its description in RNAcentral is "bacterial SSU rRNA". It matches the Rfam family "Bacterial small subunit ribosomal RNA", at positions 232 to 885 of the family's 1533-position model. The record is from RNAcentral.